Molecule: ribosomal RNA, 253 nt
Filed under: uncultured bacterium
Lineage: Bacteria
Description: partial 16S ribosomal RNA
Rfam family: Bacterial small subunit ribosomal RNA
Source: RNAcentral
UACGUAGGUGGCAAGCGUUGUCCGGAAUUAUUGGGCGUAAAGCGCGCGCAGGUGGUUCCUUAAGUCUGAUGUGAAAGCCCACGGCUCAACCGUGGAGGGUCAUUGGAAACUGGGGAACUUGAGUGCAGAAGAGGAAAGUGGAAUUCCAAGUGUAGCGGUGAAAUGCGUAGAUAUCUGGAGGAACACCGGUGGCGAAGGCGGCGUCCUGGACCAACACUGACACUGAUGAGCGAAAGCCAGGGGAGCAAACGGG